This 29-nucleotide small RNA is filed under the name Bombyx mori (domestic silkworm). RNAcentral's name for it is "ovarian small RNA-15912". The record is from RNAcentral. Lineage: Eukaryota; Metazoa; Arthropoda; Insecta; Lepidoptera; Bombycidae.
GAGGCUACUAAACGGCAAGCAAUCGCUGC